Molecule: ribosomal RNA, 632 nt
Filed under: Escherichia coli
Lineage: Bacteria; Pseudomonadati; Pseudomonadota; Gammaproteobacteria; Enterobacterales; Enterobacteriaceae
Description: partial 23S ribosomal RNA
Rfam family: Bacterial large subunit ribosomal RNA
Source: RNAcentral
CGCUUAGGCGUGUGACUGCGUACCUUUUGUAUAAUGGGUCAGCGACUUAUAUUCUGUAGCAAGGUUAACCGAAUAGGGGAGCCGAAGGGAAACCGAGUCUUAACUGGGCGUUAAGUUGCAGGGUAUAGACCCGAAACCCGGUGAUCUAGCCAUGGGCAGGUUGAAGGUUGGGUAACACUAACUGGAGGACCGAACCGACUAAUGUUGAAAAAUUAGCGGAUGACUUGUGGCUGGGGGUGAAAGGCCAAUCAAACCGGGAGAUAGCUGGUUCUCCCCGAAAGCUAUUUAGGUAGCGCCUCGUGAAUUCAUCUCCGGGGGUAGAGCACUGUUUCGGCAAGGGGGUCAUCCCGACUUACCAACCCGAUGCAAACUGCGAAUACCGGAGAAUGUUAUCACGGGAGACACACGGCGGGUGCUAACGUCCGUCGUGAAGAGGGAAACAACCCAGACCGCCAGCUAAGGUCCCAAAGUCAUGGUUAAGUGGGAAACGAUGUGGGAAGGCCCAGACAGCCAGGAUGUUGGCUUAGAAGCAGCCAUCAUUUAAAGAAAGCGUAAUAGCUCACUGGUCGAGUCGGCCUGCGCGGAAGAUGUAACGGGGCUAAACCAUGCACCGAAGCUGCGGCAGCGACGCU